RNA transcript from Pangasianodon hypophthalmus (striped catfish), 3567 nucleotides. It is a transcript of the gene named ubiquitin carboxyl-terminal hydrolase 8-like, with no coding region annotated. The transcript has 10 exons. Lineage: Eukaryota; Metazoa; Chordata; Actinopteri; Siluriformes; Pangasiidae. The record is from RefSeq and is a predicted model, not a curated record.
CUCCAAAAGAGACUCUGCAAAAUGUCUUUCUAAAACUAUUAGCGGGGGCCAUGCCAGGGCAACUCUCAAAAACAAAGAAGAAGACCUCGACUAGCCACAAUGAGAAAAGUGCAGAAAGGAAGCAGGUAAGUGUGAAGCCAGCCUCCAAACUCCCAGGGAAAAAAUGCAUACAGGGCAAAGAGGCCGGUGUGAAGAUAAAUUUACCAAGCUCGAUGAGGAUCUCUGCAAUGAAGGAGGAAAGGAAGAAGACAACACAGUAUGGGCAAGAAAAGAAGCCUACAGAAAGGAAGGAGACGACCUCAAAUAGGCUUAAUAUGAAAAAAGCAGAAACAAAGCAGGUCAGUGUGAGGCCGACCUCAAAACUCCCAGGGACGAAACGCUUAGAGGUCAAAGAGGCCCAUGUGAGGACCACUGCGAUGAGGAAAGAAAAGGAGGAAAAGAGGACGACAACCCUGCAUGGCCAAGAAAAGAAGACUGCACAAAGGAAGGAGACGACCUCAAAUAGGCCUAAUAUGAAAACAUCCGAAACAAAGCCGGUCAUUGUGAGUCCUAUCUCAAAACACCCAUGGACGAAACGCAUAGAGGUCAAAGAGGCCCAUGUAAGGACAAAUUUACAAAGCUCAGCAGGGACCACUGCAAUGAGGAAAGAAAAGGAGGAAAGGAAGGAGAUGACCCUGCAUGGCCAAGACAGGAAGGAGCAAAAGAAAGAAAUGAUCCAAUUCAAGUCGGAGGAUGAAAUGGCAAAGUUGAUGGAGGUACUGAUGGAGUUGGCCUUUUCUUCUUACAUGGAAUACAAGAAAAGGGUGAGAGAUCCACAUGCAUUCAGUUCCAAAAAGAUGAUCCCUGAGGGAAACAUAAACGGCAUGACUCUGACUCUGUGUAAGGGAAACGUAAAGAGCCCGAUUCCAACUCCGUCUGAGGGAAACAUUAAGAGCCCGAUUCCAACUCCGUCUGAGGGAAACAUGAAGAGCCCGAUUCCGACUCCGUCUGAGGGAAACGUAAAGAGCCCGAUUCCGACUCUGUCUGAGGGAAACAUGAAGAGCCCGAUUCUGACUCCGUCUGAGGGAAACAUAAACAGCACGACUCUGACUCUGACUCUGCCCCCCAUCACAGACAAGCAAGAGCUCACUGGCGGGUUGCCUAAUUUUGGAAACAACUGCUACGUUAACGCAAGUCUGCAGUGUCUGUUCACAGCUGAGUCUUUUUGCGGAGAGCUCUCCUACCUGCUGGACAAUUCUGUCCACAAACUAGAGGACACAUUCCUCAGAUGUUUUGUGGAGUUGUCGAGGUUGAGAAAGAGCUCUGAAGUUCAAGGUGGCAUCAGCAAGGAUUCUCUCCUCCUGGCCCUGAUUGAAUCAGCUACAGACAUCAAUCCAGAAUUCACCAUCAGUCAACAGAACGACGCCCAUGAAUUCCUCUGCCACUGUCUGACCCAAAUGGAGGAGUCUGGGCGAUGGCUGGGUUGGCAAGAGGAUGUGGACCCUAGAUGCCCAGUCAGGGCCAAUUUCAAGUUCAAGAUGAGGAACAUUAUAACAUGCUCCAGCUGUGGAUCCAGGCAGAACAAAGUGGAAGUGUUUAAUCACAUCUCUCUGCCCCUGGUGCACAACUCAGUGGACCAGUGCCUCUAUGACAUAGUUAAUAACCCCACAGUGUUAGAGAGCAAAUGCAAGAUGUGUGGAGGAGAAUGUGCCAACUCCAGGUGGACGUUCCACACUCUGCCCAGGUUUCUGAUUCUGCAGCUGAACAGGUUCAAAGUGACUGAAUAUUACACAGUCGUCAAGCUGCAUAUGCCAGUGGAGAUCAAACCUGAGCUGCAGAUAAACUGCCAUCCUCAAUCAGAUACGCCCGAAAUAGGUACGUCGCAAGCAAAUAACUAGUGCAAGCCUCAAAUCCAAGAGAGUCCAAGAGAGUCAGCUAAUGUUUACAGCCUGUAUAAAUCACAUCCAUAUUAGUUAAAGAAGAGCUAAUCUUUCCUUUGUGCCUUCCUUCCUCAUGUAGAGAACAGCAAAGCUGAGGCCAGAGAGACAGACAGAAAUGAACUGGGUGGAUCAGCUGCCACGUAUCGACUGAUCAGUGUCCUCAGCCAUGUUGGAAGCACAACAUUAUGUGGACAUUAUCUGAGUGAUUGUUCCAGUUCCAGUCACCAGUGGAUGACCUACAAUGACCAGCGGGUCACUCUGACCACCGAGAUGGACGUGUUAAAGAUGAGGUCGACUAGCGCCUAUGUGCUCCUCUAUGAGAGAGUUAGCACUGGCUGAAGCCCUUCCUCUUCUCUAGAAAGAUGCAAGAAGAUGCGGUGGGAAAGAUGUCGGGGCAAGCGACAGCGUGGAUGGCUUGGGGGCACGCAGGGGUGAUGCAGAUGGAAGAUGGAGACUACGCAGCAUUUUGCUAAGUAUCUCGUGCGACGACGCUUUUGGCCUAGUGGAAUUCUCAUUGUGAGUUAAGUAUGGAGGCGGAUCAUGUUAACGACGCUCCACCGGUGUAGCAGGUGUCUGUCGCAGCCAGACGACUUGCACCUGUGGGUUCGGCCCCUCGAACCGGUGAGCAGCUCGAUAACUGCAAAGUAGCAGUCCAGGAAGUGAUCCUGAACUGUAGAGUUCCUAGCAGGCAGGCCAUGUAUGGUCUAUAUGGGCAUAGAGCAUACAUGUGGGUAUGUAUGCAUUUUGUGGGCACUGCUGUAUAGUGGCAAAUCGCCAUCUAUGCUGAACGUAUAUGUGGCAGCCAUUUUGGCUAACCACAUCACAGUGGAGAACAUCUUGUUGGCAGCACAUGGGCUCAUAGCAGUGUUGUGAGCUAAGGAGGUAAACACCUCCAUUUGCCAAACCCCCCAAGAACCAAAUUGUGAUCCCAACUUCUUAUUGCAGGUUACAGGAUGCUGAUCUGAAAUUUGAACGUGUCGAAUACUUUUUGCUUAUGAUCAGCUCAGCAAAAAGGGAGGAAUACCUGCAUGCCUUUGUGAUAAAUUCGCCCUGCGUGCUUUACUGGCCAGAUGAUUCUGGAGUGACCUUGUGGCUGAACCCAGGGUUCCUGCCUAAGGUUGUUUCUUGGACACUGUAUCUAAACACUUCUGCUGUAAUCAUAAACACCCUGAUGUUCAUAAAGAACAUCUUUUCAACACCCUCAGGACUGUCUAUAUAGUACAUGAUUAAGGAAGAGUAAUGAUUUCUAAUCUCACUAUCUGGUGUCACCCAGAAGAGGAUGGGUUCCCUUUUGAGCCUGGUUCCUCUCAAGGUUUCUUCCUCAUGUGUCAUCUGAGGGAGUUUUUCCUUGCCACUGUUGCCUCUGGCUUGCUCAUUAGGGAUUUAAAUAAAUCAAGAUUUUUGGGACGGAAUGCGUCCACAGUCCCGCUAUCUGGAUGUUAAGCACCACCCUUGGCAGUUUUGAGAUGCUCAUAGUAAGUGAUCUACUGCCAAUUGAUUCCUUAAGUUGGACAAUGUCCAGCUUGAAGAUCAGCAAAAAUAAAUUGGAUCUCACAGUAUGUGUUUUCUUUGGGUCUGUUUUUAUUCCUAUAUGAUCCUUAAUAGUUUUUUCCUGUCUGACUUUGGAGCAGGCGCAUUACGUAGGUAA